RNAcentral lists this ribosomal RNA (228 nucleotides) under uncultured bacterium. Its description in RNAcentral is "partial 16S ribosomal RNA". It matches the Rfam family "Bacterial small subunit ribosomal RNA", at positions 28 to 239 of the family's 1533-position model. The record is from RNAcentral.
GACGAACGCUGGCGGCGUGCCUCAGACAUGCAAGUCGAACGCGAAAGUCCCCUUCGGGGGACAAGUAGAGUGGCGCACGGGUGAGUAACACGUAGGUAAUCCACCUUCGGAUGGGGAAUAACAACCGGAAACGGUUGCUAAUACCGCAUAAUGCAGCGGCACCUAAUGGUGACAGUUGUUAAAGCGGGGGAUCGAAAGACCUCGCGUCUGAAGAGGAGCCUGCGGCGG